This is a long non-coding RNA of Carassius auratus (goldfish), 1827 nucleotides long. NCBI's taxonomy places the organism in Eukaryota, Metazoa, Chordata, Actinopteri, Cypriniformes, Cyprinidae. The record is from Ensembl.
AUGAGGAGCAAUUGGAUCUAUGUGACUAUCCUGGGGAUAGCAUGCCUGAUGAUUGGAGUCAAUGGGAACAAUACAACGAGUAGCAGCAACUCCACAGGAGGCUGGAUAUCUUCUAACAUGACCUCAAACCAAACCCAGACACGGCCUCCCAACAUAACCAACAUCCCGCCCCUAACACGGCCUCCAAACGUAACCACCACCCUGAACCAAACACGGCCUUCCAACAUAACCAACAUCCCGCCCCUAACACGGCCUCCAAACGUAACCACCACCCUGAACCAAACACGGCCUUCCAACAUAACCAACAUCCCGCCCCUAACACGGCCUCCAAACGUAACCACCACCCUGAACCAAACACGGCCUUCCAACAUAACCAACAUCCCGCCCCUAACACGGCCUCCAAACGUAACCACCACCCUGAACCAAACACGGCCUUCCAACAUAACCAACAUCCCGCCCCUAACACGGCCUCCAAACGUAACCACCACCCUGAACCAAACACGGCCUUCCAACAUAACCAACAUCCCGUCCCUAACACGGCCUCCAAACGUAACCUCCACCCUGAACCAAACACGGCCUUCCAACAUAACCAACAUCCCGGCCCUAACACGGCCUCCAAACGUAACCACCACCCUGAACCAAACACGGCCUUCCAACAUAACCAACAUCCCGCCCCUAACACGGCCUCCAAACGUAACCACCACCCUGAACCAAACACGGCCUUCCAACAUAACCAACAUCCCGCCCCUAACACGGCCUCCAAACGUAACCACCACCCUGAACCAAACACGGCCUUCCAACAUAACCAACAUCCCGCCCCUAACACGGCCUCCAAACGUAACCACCACCCUGAACCAAACACGGCCUUCCAACAUAACCAACAUCCCGCCCCUAACACGGCCUCCUAACGUAACCACCACCCUGAACCAAACACGGCCUUCCAACAUAACCAACAUCCCGCCCCUAACACGGCCUCCAAACGUAACCACCACCCUGAACCAAACACGGCCUUCCAACAUAACCAACAUCCCGCCCCUAACACGGCCUCCAAACGUAACCACCACCCUGAACCAAACACGGCCUUCCAACAUAACCAACAUCCCGCCCCUAACACGGCCUCCAAACGUAACCACCACCCUGAACCAAACACGGCCUUCCAACAUAACCAACAUCCCGCCCCUAACACGGCCUCCAAACGUAACCACCACCCUGAACCAAACACGGCCUUCCAACAUAACCAACAUCCCGCCCCUAACACGGCCUCCAAACGUAACCACCACCCUGAACCAAACACGGCCUUCCAACAUAACCAACAUCCCGCCCCUAACACGGCCUCCAAACGUAACCACCACCCUGAACCAAACACGGCCUUCCAACAUAACCAACAUCCCGCCCCUAACACGGCCUCCCAACAUAACCAACAACCUGAACCAAACAAUUUUUCCCAUCAUAACCACUAACUCAACCCAAACAAAGCCUCCCAACAUAACUAGCUUGACCCAGACACGGCCUUCCAACAUCACCACAAACCCAACCCAGUCAGGCCCCAUCACUGUAAUAAACAUUAUAACAAUGUCAAGUUCUAAUACUCAAUCAAUAGAAAUCACUGGCAGGGAUAACUGCAGGAGAGAUAGAGCAUGUUUCUCCGCUCCACCUUCCUGCAAUCCAGGUGCACAAGGUUCCUGCUAUUUCCUCUCCACAAGAGGAGUAAGCGGGAAUGCAAAUAAUUUUACUUUUGAGCUCAGUGGAGAGACAGAUGGUUACAUUGGAGCUGGCCUUUCUAGAGACACCAGUGUAAGAGAUUAUAUCCAGUUGUUUUUUUAUUAG